GAAAUAACAAAUCACUAAAAUUUCAGUAAAAAAUUCCUUGUAGACCACAUUGGUUGUCUUUUAGACAUAUGGUUGACCACGGACAAAUACAGGCCUUCAAGACUUUAUCAACAACCCUUCGGGCCUUCAACUUUUAACCUUCAAGCACAAUUCACAAUUUAAUCCUGCUGCAUUAUCUUGAAUCCAGUCCAAGCCCAAAAUAAUAUAGAGGGAUGUGUUGGGUCGUGUCAUGGCCUAGACGUUAACCCGUAAGCCAAAUCCAACUCCAUGCCCAUAGCAUGAGUGUUACCGCAUCGAUGAAUUCAGGAAGAAUAGGUGGUC
This 321-nucleotide long non-coding RNA is filed under the name Helianthus annuus (common sunflower). RNAcentral's name for it is "sRNA HanXRQr2_Chr15g0688051". Lineage: Eukaryota; Viridiplantae; Streptophyta; Magnoliopsida; Asterales; Asteraceae. The record is from RNAcentral.